Molecule: ribosomal RNA, 624 nt
Filed under: Heterosigma akashiwo
Lineage: Eukaryota; Raphidophyceae; Chattonellales; Chattonellaceae
Description: partial Bacterial large subunit ribosomal RNA
Rfam family: Bacterial large subunit ribosomal RNA
Source: RNAcentral
CCACCCUUUAAAGAAAGCGUAAUAGCUCACUGGUCGAGUCGGCCUGCGCGGAAGAUGUAACGGGGCUAAAACUAUAUGCCGAAGCUGCGGAUUUGCAAUUUAUUGCAAGUGGUAGGGGAGCGUUCUGUAAGCCGAUGAAGGUGUAUUGAGAAGUAUGCUGGAGGUAUCAGAAGUGCGAAUGCUGACGUGAGUAACGACAAAACGGGUGAAAAACCCGUUCGCUGAAAGACCAAGGGUUCCAGUCCAACGUUAAUCGGGGCUGGGUGAGUCGACCCCUAAGGCGAGGCCGAGAGGCGUAGUCGAUGGGAAAUUGGUUAAUAUUCCAAUACUUCUGUGUAAUGCGAUGAGAGGACGGAGAAGGUUAAGUCAGCCUGGCGUUGGUUGUCCAGGUGGAAGGUUGUAGGCAUGUAUCUUAGGCAAAUCCGGGGUACUGUAUGCUGAGAACUGAUAGCAAGCUGUACUUGUACAGUGAAGUGGCUGAUACCAUGCUUCCAGGAAAAGUCUCUAAGCUUCAGUUACACAGGAAUCGUACCCGAAACCGACACAGGUGGUCAGGUCGAGUAGACCAAAGCGCUUGAGAGAACUCUGCUGAAGGAACUAGGCAAAAUGGUACCGUAACUUCGG